CGCUUCUUUAUAGUCAUUAGCUUGACGUUUUAAGAAAGUUUCCUUAGAAGGGAUCAAAGAGGUCAUAUUGCGUAGAUGACGCUAUUGAGCGUUCUUUCACAUCAUGACCUUUAAUCAUGUUACAAGAAUAGAGGGCGGGACCUUUCAUAUAAUUCUCCAACUCAAACCCUAUCAGCUCAUUACUCACUUGAAAAACAAUCCUACCAUUCUGAACAUCUACUAU
This 223-nucleotide long non-coding RNA is filed under the name Medicago truncatula (barrel medic). RNAcentral describes it as "long non-coding RNA (MTRU_LNC004111)". The record is from RNAcentral. Lineage: Eukaryota; Viridiplantae; Streptophyta; Magnoliopsida; Fabales; Fabaceae.